GACGAACGCUGGCGGCGUGCCUAAUACAUGCAAGUUGAGCGCUGAAGGUUGGUACUUGUACCAACUGGAUGAGCAGCGAACGGGUGAGUAACGCGUGGGGAAUCUGCCUUUGAGCGGGGGACAACAUUUGGAAACGAAUGCUAAUACCGCAUAAAAACUUUAAACACAAGUUUUAAGUUUGAAAGAUGCAAUUGCAUCACUCAAAGAUGAUCCCGCGUUGUAUUAGCUAGUUGGUGAGGUAAAGGCUCACCAAGGCGAUGAUACAUAGCCGACCUGAGAGGGUGAUCGGCCACAUUGGGACGGAGACAAGGCCCAAACUCCUACGGGAGGCAGCAGUAGGGAAUCUUCGGAAAUGGACGAAAGUCUGACCGAGCAACGCCGCGUGAGUGAAGAAGGGUGUCGGAUCGUAAAACUCUGUUGGUAGAGAAGAACGUUGGUGAGAGUGGAAAGCUCAUCAAGUGACGGUAACUACCCAGAAAGGGACGGCUAACUACGUG
RNAcentral lists this ribosomal RNA (497 nucleotides) under uncultured bacterium. Its description in RNAcentral is "partial 16S ribosomal RNA". It matches the Rfam family "Bacterial small subunit ribosomal RNA", at positions 28 to 507 of the family's 1533-position model. The record is from RNAcentral.